Mastomys coucha (southern multimammate mouse) is the source of this 942-nucleotide long non-coding RNA. RefSeq lists it as uncharacterized. The transcript is spliced from 3 exons. Lineage: Eukaryota; Metazoa; Chordata; Mammalia; Rodentia; Muridae. The record is from RefSeq and is a predicted model, not a curated record.
UUUUGCUCUCCAGUUUCUCACGUUAGAUUCUGGGAUCUUUGUAUUUAGAGUGAGCCACACUUCAAGCUUCCCCAGUUGUCUGGAUUGUAGAUGGACUAGUGCAGGACAGCCUCCAUAACUGCAUGAACCAAUUCCUAUGAUCAAUCCCCUGUCUGCCAUUCUACCUACCUGUCUACAUAGUUUAUCUGUGUAUCAAUCAUUUUGGCUCUCUUUCUCUGGAGAGACCAGACAACUAUAAAUAGUAAUAAUGGAAGAGUGUUUCAAGUGAUACUUUGUAUAAAUUGAAAUGAAAGAGCAAGCAAAGAUUUUCCAGCUGUAUGAGUCGCCUGGUCAGAUUAAUCAGAGUGCAUCAAUCUGCCAAAUGUGGCCUUCUUCUGGUGGAGAUCCAAAAGCUCACAGUGAGGGUCCCUGCAUUAUCUACAAGCUUCCUGUCACUCUGACAGAAUACCUGAGAUAAUAUAUAACUGUGGGAGUCAGUCCUCUCCUUCCACCAUGUAGUGUCAGUCCUCCCCUUCCCUCAUGUGGAGUCAGCUUUCCCCUUUCACCAUAUUAGUUUCCAGGAUCGAAUUCUGGCCAUCAGGUCUGGCACAGGCACCUUACCAACUGAGCCAUCCCACCAGCUCAGUCUACAGUGUUUUCAAGUGCCCUUGGAACCAUUACCAAAUCAAACUCUAUCCUGGAUUAUAAAUGUUUAUGGGAGCCUACUGUGUGCUGAAGAUACCCUCGAUAUACCAAGGAAAGUGGUACACAGCUCCUGAUUAAGGGAGCUUGUUGGCCAGUGGUACAGCAUCAUGGACCAUCACAGGCUGGGGAGACAUCAAGCACAGAGGCUUGUUUGAUGUCACAGUUCUGCUCCAGCAUCAGGAGGAUUGGCUUCUUGUUGACUGAUUCAAGGUUUGAGGUAACACUGGACUUCACCCAAUAAAAGACAGCAAACCUGUG